ACGCAACAGGAGGCGCAACCCUUGGGUUUCACAGAGCAGUGAAUACUUC
Molecule: non-coding RNA, 49 nt
Filed under: Tetraselmis chui
Lineage: Eukaryota; Viridiplantae; Chlorophyta; Chlorodendrophyceae; Chlorodendrales; Chlorodendraceae
Source: RNAcentral